CCAGAAUCAGCAUGAAGUUUUACAUUAAUAUCUAAAGGACAAACAACAGAGGAUACAUUGGUACAGUCAAACUGAUGCAGCAAAUCACAAACAUAUUUAUGCUGAUUAAGGAUCAUACCACCAGGAACAACUGACAUUUCUAUGCCCAAAAAAUAAUGCAAAGACCCUAGGUCUUUGAUUUUAAAGUGAUCAUCCAGAAAUAGUUUCAGGGCAGUAAGUUCAUCAUUGUCAUCCCCAGUAAGAAUAAUAUCAUCCGCAAAGACCUUAGGUCUUUGAUUUUAAACUGAUCAUCCAGAAACAGUUUCAGGGCAGUAAGUUUAUCACUGUCAUCCCCAGUAAGAAUAAUAUCAUCCACAUAGAUUGCCACAACCACAAGGGACCCAGGUUUACCUUUGAUGAACAAAGAAUAGUCAUUCAAAGAAUAGAGACUGUCAAACCUGAGGGAAGUUUCAUAUAAACUUCCUCAUCCAAAUCACCAUGGAGAAAAGCAUUAUUAACAUCAAGUUGAAAGAGAGGCCAGUGAUUCUUGACAGCCACAUCAAUAAGACAUUUCACAGUGGUCAUCUUAAUCACAGGAGAAAAGGUGUCAGUAAAAUUAAUCCCUUCAACUUGAGUAUCACCCCUAAUAACAAGCCUAGCCUUAUACCUUUCAACAGAACCAUCAGCCUUGUAUUUGAU
RNAcentral lists this long non-coding RNA (678 nucleotides) under Nicotiana benthamiana. Its description in RNAcentral is "long non-coding RNA (NBEN_LNC017766)". Lineage: Eukaryota; Viridiplantae; Streptophyta; Magnoliopsida; Solanales; Solanaceae. The record is from RNAcentral.